RNAcentral lists this ribosomal RNA (376 nucleotides) under uncultured bacterium. RNAcentral describes it as "bacterial SSU rRNA". It matches the Rfam family "Bacterial small subunit ribosomal RNA", at positions 521 to 896 of the family's 1533-position model. The record is from RNAcentral.
UAAUACGAAGGGGGCUAGCGUUGUUCGGAAUUACUGGGCGUAAAGCGUAUGUAGGCGGAUCGUUAAGUCGGGGGUGAAAUCCCGAGGCUCAACCUCGGAACUGCCUUCGAUACUGGCGAUCUUCGAGUCCGGGAGAGGUGAGUGGAACUCCGAGUGUAGAGGUGAAAUUCGUAGAUAUUCGGAAGAACACCAGUGGCGAAGGCGGCUCACUGGCCCGGUACUGACGCUGAAAUACGAAAGCGUGGGGAGCAAACAGGAUUAGAUACCCUGGUAGUCCACGCCGUAAACGAUGGGUGCUAGCCGUCGGCAAGUUUACUUGUCGGUGGCGCAGCUAACGCAUUAAGCACCCCGCCUGGGGAGUACGAUCGCAAGAUUA